GUCUGACCAGAGUAUCAAUUCUUUAUUUCUUAAAUGUAUUUUUACUUUUUAUGAAAACAAUAAUUGUACCUAGGUGUGGGGUAUGCUGUGACAUUUCAAUACAUGGAAACAAUGUGUAAUGAUUAAAUCAGGAUAAGUGGUGUAUCCAUCUCCUCAGAUAUUUAUCAAUUCUUUUUUUUUUUUUUUUUUUUUGCAGUACUGGGGAUUGAACUCAGGACCUUGUGCUUGAGAGGCAGGCAGUAACACCACUGAGCUAAAUCCCCAGCUAUUUAUCAAUUCUUUAUGCUGGGAAAAUUCAAAUGCUUCUCUACUAGCUCUUUUGACAUAUAUAAUCAACUGUUGUCAACCCUCACCCUGCUGAACCAUCAGAAGGUACUCCUCCCGUCACUGCAGAGCACUUCCUAAAGCAUCGUGUUGAUGAUUCAGGCUGUCUGGCUGCAUCGGGCUGGGCUGAAGGAAUGAGCCAGCUCUCUCUUCCCUGUCUUGAAGCCCUUGCUGGGCUUUUCCUGAAAUGACCGCACACCUGAUUCACCCAGAAGCCCUUCCCACAGUUUUUCACCCUCUCCUCGGGGGUGCAGGUUGGCCCUGGGCCCCAGCGCAGAAGUCCUCAGCAGUUCUGGUGUCUUCAGCAGGUUUGCAAGCCACUCUCAGCCAGUCUGUCCACCCCCAAGGCAGGAACCAGUGCCCGGGCGUGAGGCAGAGCCACAUUCCAGAACAUUCGUCCAGGAGUGCAGGGAUGGCUGGCUUCAUAGCGAAACAUCCUUGGGCGCUGCAAACCAUCUCUACUUCACAUCCUCGUCUCCAGCCAAACCCCAAGAGGGUCUACAAACAGCUUCAGGGAGGCCAUUCCUCAAGAGGCCAAGCACAGAGUGUGCACUGUGACCACGAUUCUACUCCUGGGUAUGUGCCCAGAGAAUCCCAAACAGAUAAUCCAACAAAAGCUUAUACCUUGCUAAUUACCAAAAGGUGUAAGUGACCCAAAAGUCCAUUAGAAAAUGAACUGAUAAAUAGUAUGGUGAUGAUAGCAAUGAGAUAUUCUUUGUUCAUGGAGUUCUGAUACAGGCGCCAACAUGGAACCGCAUAGACAGACCCUGAAAACAGGAUGCUAGGAGCCAGAAACCAGGCCCCAAGGCCACAUGGUGUAGGUGUCCAUUCAUACACAAGGUCCAGGUUGGCAAAUCUACAGAGAUCUACCACACUGAGUGAGUCUAAUCACACCCUCUCCACUUACUUGCUGUGUGACUUUGAGCAAAUCUCUGGAUCUCUCUGUGCCUAUAAAAUAGGUUUAAUGAUAAGCUAUUUCAUGGGGUUGUUGGGAGAAUCCAAUGAGCCAAUACCCAUAAAGUACUCUGAGCCAUGCUGGUUUGUGAAAAAUAGCCACUGAGUGCUUUCCAUUUUUAUAUAGAUUUUCAGGAAAGGGUUCACUGAGAAGGCACCAGAUCUUGGACCUCAAAGGACACAUAUGAUUUAGUAGGUGGGGAGAAGGGUUUAAGUUAGUCAUCAUACACUGGGACUGAAAUCCUGGGUUGCCUUUUAUAGCCCUUCUCUAGAGACUCCCACAGCAAUCCUAAGCGAACUGUUAUUACCCGUACUAGUUUAUAAAGGAGACUCAGACAGAUUAAGAAACUUGCCUGAAGUCACACAGCUUCCAAGGGACAGAGCCAAGAUUUGGCCCCACCUGUGCCAAGUCUCCCUAUACAGGAAGAGGACAAGAGGACAAGAGGACAGUGAUUGUUCAAACUGUCUAGGAUCUGAUUACCUAUGCUUCUGGCUCUCUUUCUCUCUGUGCCUNNNNNNNNNNNNNNNNNNNNCCCUCUCUCUCUCUCUCUCUCUCUCUCUCCCUCCCUCCCUCCCUCUCUCUCUCCCUCCCUCCCUUCCCCCCUCUCUCUUCCAUAUGAAAAUAGGAAGGCCCAAAAUUCUACUUGUAGGCAUUUAUGCAAGAGAAAUUCAAUUCAAACCACGUCCACACAAAGACUCAUGCACAAAUGUUCACAGCAGUUUAAUUCAUAGUAGCUCCAAACUGGGAAUAGCUCAAAGGAUCAACAAAGAACAGGUAAAUAAAUGGGAUCUAUCCAUACUGCAGUGUGCUAUAUUCAGCAAUAAAAAGCAACAGACUGCUGCUACAUGCCACAGCAUGGAUGCCUCUCAAAAUAAACACAACCAGCCAAAGAAGCCAGCCUAAGUGAAAAGAAAAGAACAUAUGCUGUAUGACUCCAUUCGUAUGAAAUUCUAGAACAGGCAAAACUAAAUGAAGGUGAAAAAAGCCAGACAGCAGUUAUUCUAGGAAAGGAACAUGGUGGCGGUGUUGGCAGGGUGGGGAGAGAGAUUUGGGGGCCGUGGUGAUUCUAAGGGCUUGAUCUAGACAGGGUAAUACAUUUGUCAGCACUCACCGACUGCUACUCUUAGAAUGUGCCCCUUCCUUACAUGUAAAUUUCAUCCUAAAGAAGGAAACUGUUGAGAAACACAGUACUGAACUCCAUCUAGAUAAUACCUGCUCGUGUCCAGGGGUAAAGAAUCCACUUUCAACUCACUUUGAAAAACACAUGCUCCUCCACUUAUAAUGGGAUCACACCCUAGACAACCCAUUGUGAGUUGAAAAUAUAUUAAGCAAAAAGUGCCCUGAUUUCCCCUGGCGCCACACAUAGCUCAGUCUCACUUGCCUGACCAGCCACCUAGCACCCUGUCUGUGCAACAGAGGCCCAUAGGCCCUAACGCUCAGCUGGGACUAACUGAUAUCCCUUGAGCUUGGCCAAGGCCCGAGGAAGGGACCCCACAGGCUCUUUUGGUGGGAGAAAAAUGCCCUUGGCAUCUCCAUGCCUGAUUCCACUUUCUCUAUUCCUCUCCAUUUGUCUCUCCCUCUCUGAAACGUGACCUUUUGGGGGCUGCCAUCUGCCAGUGACUAAGAGCAGGCACUUGGGCCAUGCUGGCAGCACCUCCCUGAGAUGGCGAAAGUACAGCCUGGCUGGGGUCAUGGGACAGGCUGGACUGAGCCUGGCUUCCCUUGCUGCCAUGCAUCUUCUCCCCCAUUUUGCUCCACAUGACCUAGGAUGGUGUCCAGCCAGAGGCCCAGACCCCUGGUCCCUACACCCUGGGCUCCCAGCGUCCACUCCCUGUCCUGCUCCUUCUUUCAGUCUUACUCUAAUGCCUCCCCUGCCCUGCCUGAUGCUGGAUCUCCCUGUUUCACAGAUGGGGAAGUUGAGGCACUGAGUGGCACUUUAUCUCUUCUAAUGAGUGGCUAUAGAAGGAGCGUUUAUCUCGUAAUGUCACUGGGAGGAUGAAGUAGGGCCUAAAGGGUGUCAGUGCUCACGGCCCCCGACUGAGUGUCUUGUUGCCCAUUUCAUAGGUGAAGCUCAGGGAGGGCGAGACACUUGCCCUAGGGACAGGUGAGCAGCAGAGGCAGGGCUGUCCUGGGUGGAGGAGAACUGAAGGGGGCAGACACAGAGGUGCUGUGGCCGGCUGCCCAGAGGAGGGAUGGGGGCUGGAUCAGGGCCCUGGGAGUCUGCCUUCACCCUGGGGCUCUUGACGAGCUGUCAGCUGCUGACAUUUAUAACUGCGCCUAAUGUUCCCACUGCACCCACGGGAGCCUUUCCGCUCUGAUCUGCCUGGCAUUACCCAGGCUUGAAAUGAUGGCAAUUACCCUGGGGCUGGAUAAUGGCUGUGGGAGGUGCUGAAAGCUUCAGGCCUUGAUUU
Molecule: long non-coding RNA, 3690 nt
Filed under: Fukomys damarensis (Damara mole-rat)
Lineage: Eukaryota; Metazoa; Chordata; Mammalia; Rodentia; Bathyergidae
Description: lncRNA (ENSFDAG00000028274.1)
Source: RNAcentral